This is an RNA transcript of Glycine soja, 1360 nucleotides long. It is a transcript of the gene named expansin-A13-like, with no coding region annotated. The transcript has 2 exons. NCBI's taxonomy places the organism in Eukaryota, Viridiplantae, Streptophyta, Magnoliopsida, Fabales, Fabaceae. The record is from RefSeq and is a predicted model, not a curated record.
UGUGUAUAAUUUAUACAUCAUGGCAUCUUCACUGAUAUUUAUAGUCAGUAGCACGUGCAACAUUUAUAACAAGAAAGACGGUGAAUGCUGUAAAAAAACACAAUCAGAGACAAACAACUCAAGUGAUAAAAACUACUAAAAAGUUAAGAAAAAAAGUGAAGAUAUGAUUUUGCAUCUGUCACUAAUUACCAUUUAGUUUGCUUGUAGAAACAACAACAAAGGCCAAACAAUGUCACAACAAACACUAACACUAACGAUUCUUCUAUUUACACUCCUUAGUCUUACUUCUUCACCAGCCACUUGUUUAUACUCUUCUCCUUCACCCCCCGCCGCGUCAUUUUCCGAAACUACCCCCGAUCCCGAACCUCGCGCCGAAGAAUGGUUACCCGCCCACGCAACUCACUACGCCGCCACCGACGCGGUCGGCGGCGCGUGCGGAUACGGCGACCUCCUUAACGGCGGUUAUGGCAUGGCCACCGCCGCUCUCAGCGAGGCUCUCUUCGGGCGCGGCCAGAUCUGCGGCGCCUGCUUCGAGCUCCGGUGCCGCGAGGAGGACUCCGACUUUGACCGGCGGUGGUGCAUCUCCGGCACGACGGUGGCCGUCACCGCCACAAAUUUCUGCGCCCCGAACUACGGCUCCGACGCGGAGAGCGUGGGAGGACAUUGCAACACUCCGAAGCAGCAUUUCGUGGUUCCAAUUGAAGCAUUCGAGAAAAUGGCAAUCUGGAAAACUGGCACUGGCAACAUGCCCGUGGAGUAUCGCAGGAUAAAGUGUAGAAGAGAAGAGGGGAUCCGGUUUACAAUUACUGGUUUUGGAAUCUUCAUUUCAGUACUGAUUAGCAAUGUGGCUGGCAAGGGAGACAUUGUUACUGUGAAGAUUAAGGGUUCAAGAACUGGUUGGCUCCCAUGGGUAGGAAUUGGGGUCAGAACUGGCAUGUUAAUGCAUUGCUACAGAACCAACCUCUUUCAUUUGAGGUUACAAGUAGUGAUGGGAUAACUGUUGCAUCUUACAAUGUUGCCCCCAAAGAUUGGAGCUUUGGACAAUCUUUUGAAGGCAAGCAAUUUGAGUCUUGACAAAUAUAAUUACUUACUAGCUUGGAUGGACCAUUCUCCUUCCUUUCUCCUCCCAUAAAAGUUUUGUGAUGAUAAUUUGGAUUGUCAAGCACAUGGUUUAUUUUUGGAGCAUCUAACAGGUCUUGGGUGGGUCAUGGAAUCAAAGAAGUUAUAACUUAUAAGCAAUCAUGCAAGUUAUUCUUUCUAGAUGCUAAAAUCUUUUGGAAUGUUUUCCUACCUUUGAUCAAUUUUAUGAAAAUGUGGGUUCUAUCACCACCUCAUCAUACUUAUGUAAUCGCAUAGCUAC